Molecule: ribosomal RNA, 497 nt
Filed under: uncultured bacterium
Lineage: Bacteria
Description: partial 16S ribosomal RNA
Rfam family: Bacterial small subunit ribosomal RNA
Source: RNAcentral
GAUGAACGCUGGCGGCGUGCCUAAUACAUGCAAGUCGAGCGAACAGACGAGGAGCUUGCUCCUCUGACGUUAGCGGCGGACGGGUGAGUAACACGUGGAUAACCUACCUAUAAGACUGGGAUAACUUCGGGAAACCGGAGCUAAUACCGGAUAAUAUAUUGAACCGCAUGGUUCAAUAGUGAAAGACGGUUUUGCUGUCACUUAUAGAUGGAUCCGCGCCGCAUUAGCUAGUUGGUAAGGUAACGGCUUACCAAGGCAACGAUGCGUAGCCGACCUGAGAGGGUGGUCCGGCACAAUGGAAAUGGAGAACGGUCCCGAAUCCUAAGGGAGGGCAGAGUGGGGGAACUUUCCGAAUGGGGGGAAGGCUGGACGGGGCAACGCGGGUGGGUGGAGGAAGGUUUUGGGUUGGAAAAACUCUUUUAUGGGGGAAAAACAAAGGUGUAAGUAACAAUGCACGUCUGGAGGUAACCAAAGCAGAAGGCCAGGGCAAAUUAGUG